UUAUUAUAGAAGAAAAAGAAUGAAUAUUUAUUGAACACUAACUAAGGGCCAGGCAUUGGUGCAAGAACUUCAUGUGUGUUAUUUUGUUGAUCUUCACAACAACCCUCUGAGGCAAAUGCUCUUUUUUUCCUCCUUUACAGACAAGGAAACUGAGAGACAGAUGCCUUGUUCUACAGCUCCUCUGGAGCAACCUCCCUCACUGCGCUCAGGCCAUGCAUGCGGUUUUGUCAGACGACAGGUCUGUGCCUGCUCAUCUUGACUGAUUAGGCUUUAUUGUAGGUAUACACAACACGAGUGAUCACCCCUCAUUUUACAGUUGAAGAAACUGAAGCCCAGAGAAGUUGUCACUUAACUAUGUUGGUGACAGAGCAGAGGUCUAAAACCAAAGUGCCCCGACCCCAGUCAAUGGUCACCCCAGUGUCUCCCAGCAGAAGAGGACACAGAUAAAGAAGCUGGAGUUUGAAGAGGUGGAAUCACUUGUCCAGGGUUACUCAGCCAGACAAGGACCAGAACCAGUGCUUGGGUGUUUCACCUCCAAGUCCAGCCACCUUUCCACUACAUCACGAGGUGCCUCGGACAGAGCACCCGGUUAGGAGGUCCUCCCAGCAGGGAGGUCGUAGGGCGGUGGCUUUGGGUAUAGGAGGAGAUGUCGUGAGCUAAGAUGAGGGUGCCUGUCUCAGGGGCGCAGCUCUAAAAGCAUCGUGGCAGGCGCGCCAGCGAGUUAGCCAUGAGGUCAGGAGCAGCACGAUGUCAGUCCUGGCAGACGUGUGGAGCAUGGAGCCACACGGAGACUUGAGUUCAAAGCGAAGUCUCAGCAGAUGUGGGUAGAGCAGAGAGUCAGCCUGGCCUGGCGGCCACCGUAACAGGAUUCUGGUCCUGGAAGCCUCACUUUGGGACUUUGGGUCAGUCAUUUAAACUCUUUGAGCCUCA
Equus caballus (horse) is the source of this 930-nucleotide long non-coding RNA. Lineage: Eukaryota; Metazoa; Chordata; Mammalia; Perissodactyla; Equidae. The record is from Ensembl.